RNAcentral lists this ribosomal RNA (838 nucleotides) under Salinivibrio kushneri. Its description in RNAcentral is "bacterial LSU rRNA". It matches the Rfam family "Bacterial large subunit ribosomal RNA", at positions 2310 to 2925 of the family's 2925-position model. The record is from RNAcentral. Lineage: Bacteria; Pseudomonadati; Pseudomonadota; Gammaproteobacteria; Vibrionales; Vibrionaceae.
ACGAAGGUGGGCUAAUCACGGUCGGACAUCGUGAGGUUAGUGCAAUGGCAUAAGCCCGCUUAACUGCGAGAGUGACGGCUCGAGCAGGUACGAAAGUAGGUCAUAGUGAUCCGGUGGUUCUGAAUGGAAGGGCCAUCGCUCAACGGAUAAAAGGUACUCCGGGGAUAACAGGCUGAUACCGCCCAAGAGUUCAUAUCGACGGCGGUGUUUGGCACCUCGAUGUCGGCUCAUCACAUCCUGGGGCUGAAGUCGGUCCCAAGGGUAUGGCUGUUCGCCAUUUAAAGUGGUACGCGAGCUGGGUUUAGAACGUCGUGAGACAGUUCGGUCCCUAUCUGCCGUGGGCGUUGGAUGAUUGAGGGGAGCUGCUCCUAGUACGAGAGGACCGGAGUGGACGAACCGCUGGUGUUCGGGUUGUGUCGCCAGACGCAUUGCCCGGUAGCUAAGUUCGGCACAGAUAAGCGCUGAAAGCAUCUAAGCGCGAAGCUGGCCCCGAGAUGAGUCAUCCCUAGAGCNAGACAGUUCGGUCCCUAUCUGCCGUGGGCGUUGGAUGAUUGAGGGGAGCUGCUCCUAGUACGAGAGGACCGGAGUGGACGAACCGCUGGUGUUCGGGUUGUGUCGCCAGACGCAUUGCCCGGUAGCUAAGUUCGGCACAGAUAAGCGCUGAAAGCAUCUAAGCGCGAAGCUGGCCCCGAGAUGAGUCAUCCCUAGAGCYUCGAGCUCUCUAAAGGGUUGUUCUAGACKAGAACGUUGAUAGGCAGGGUGUGUAAGCGCUGUGAGGCGUUGAGCUAACCUGUACUAAUGGCCCGUGAGGCUUAACCAUACAACACCCAAGGGGUUU